This 487-nucleotide ribosomal RNA is filed under the name uncultured soil bacterium. RNAcentral's name for it is "bacterial SSU rRNA". It matches the Rfam family "Bacterial small subunit ribosomal RNA", at positions 26 to 518 of the family's 1533-position model. The record is from RNAcentral.
AGGACGAACGCUGGCGGCGUGCUUAACACAUGCAAGUCGAGCGGUAAGGCCUUUCGGGGUACACGAGCGGCGAACGGGUGAGUAACACGUGGGUGAUCUGCCCUGCACUUCGGGAUAAGCCUGGGAAACUGGGUCUAAUACCGGAUAUGACCUCCUAUCGCAUGGUGGGUGGUGGAAAGAUUUAUCGGUGCAGGAUGGGCCCGCGGCCUAUCAGCUUGUUGGUGGGGUAAUGGCCUACCAAGGCGACGACGGGUAGCCGACCUGAGAGGGUGACCGGCCACACUGGGACUGAGACACGGCCCAGACUCCUACGGGAGGCAGCAGUGGGGAAUAUUGCACAAUGGGCGAAAGCCUGAUGCAGCGACGCCGCGUGAGGAUGACGGCCUUCGGGUUGUAAACCUCUUUCAGCACAGACGUAAGUUUUGUCUUUUUGGUGUAAGUGACGGUAUGUGCAGAAGAAGGACCGCAACUACGUGCCAGCAGCCGC